AUGGACAAUGAAAUAAACUCAUUGGACCCGGGGGCGGUACCCGGCGCCUCCACCAAAAUAUAAUGAACAGAAUUAUAUUUUGGUGGGGGCGAAAUAGGAUCGACAAGAGCGUAAAGAUUGCUUUUUUACUCGGCAUAGUACCACCGUUAUCGGACUAAAUGAGUAGUUGCAAAUGACAACUAUGCGGGAGCACGUCUCGCUGCGUAAUGCGGUGCGAAUGUUCCAAAUUAAGCCUUAAAUCGUCGCAGAUUUAAGCGGGGUUCGGAGGCACC
This 272-nucleotide transfer-messenger RNA is filed under the name Bartonella sp. RNAcentral's name for it is "partial ssrA". It matches the Rfam family "Alphaproteobacteria transfer-messenger RNA", at positions 65 to 335 of the family's 355-position model. From Rfam's summary of the family: Bacterial tmRNA, also known as 10Sa RNA or SsrA, is named for its dual tRNA and mRNA-like properties. Its role is to liberate the mRNA from a stalled ribosome. To accomplish this part of the tmRNA is used as a reading frame that ends in a translation stop signal. The record is from RNAcentral. Lineage: Bacteria; Pseudomonadati; Pseudomonadota; Alphaproteobacteria; Hyphomicrobiales; Bartonellaceae.